UUCCAGACUCCUACGGGAGGCAGCAGUGGGGAAUAUUGCACAAUGGGGGAAACCCUGAUGCAGCGACGCCGCGUGAGUGGAGAAGUAAUUCGUUAUGUAAAGCUCUAUCAGCAGGGAAGAAAAUGACGGUACCUGAGUAAGAAGCCCCGGCUAACUACGUGCCAGCAGCCGCGGUAAUACGUAGGGGGCAAGCGUUAUCCGGAUUUACUGGGUGUAAAGGGAGCGUAGACGGCAUGGCAAGUCAGAUGUGAAAGCCCGGGGCUCAACCCCGGGACUGCAUUUGAAACUGUCAGGCUGGAGUGCAGGAGAGGUAAGUGGAAUUCCUAGUGUAGCGGUGAAAUGCGUAGAUAUUAGGAGGAACACCAGUGGCGAAGGCGGCUUACUGGACUGUAACUGACGUUGAGGCUCGAAAGCGUGGGGAGCAAACAGGAUUAGAUACCCCCGUA
RNAcentral lists this ribosomal RNA (446 nucleotides) under uncultured bacterium. RNAcentral describes it as "bacterial SSU rRNA". It matches the Rfam family "Bacterial small subunit ribosomal RNA", at positions 329 to 792 of the family's 1533-position model. The record is from RNAcentral.